CCCCUCGCGUCCUCCCCAUCCCAGCCGCCGUGCGCCUCUCCUCCUUCCUGCCGCUGUCGUGCCUCCUCUCCUCCGGCGUGCCUCCUCCCUAGGCUCAGCAGGAAGGAGGGAGGACGGCGCGUGUCUCUCCUCUUCCCGGCCGCCGCGCGCCUCUCCUCCUCUCCUCUCCUCUCUGCUCCAGCCUGCUUCUUCCUUGGGCUCAGCAGGUGGAGCAUCACGUGCCGGCCCAGCAGGAGGAGCAGCAAACGCCACCAGGGGCGCUUCCUCAGCGGGGUGGAGCGCGGACCGUCCGGUCCUCAGGCCGGCGAGGCGAAUGCUGCGGCGUUGUCGUCAGCGGGGAGGAGCUCGAGCCGCCGCUAGGACGCCGCCAAGCCGCACCAGAGGAAGGGCCACCGCUGCACCACGGGAGAGGUUGGCGCAGAUGUCAUGCGAUUAAGUGGCAAGCUCCCUAUUUUGGCCAUGGGUGAGGCGUGAUUUUGAUCUAUUGGGCAUUUAUGGUGUGCAACAUAUAUCAGAUGAUACCAAGUUUGAAUAUGGUACUGGAUGUAUGCGGCGGAGCUGAAUGAUGGAUCACUCACAAUUCGUAGUGCUGCCUCACAGGUAUGCUUUGACAGAGAUGCUCCGGGAUCUUCUUUAUCUUCCUAUUGGAUGCUUCCAUAUCUCCAUUUCAGUAGAGGUUGACAUAAGAGAGAAGGGGCAGGUUCAGAUUAGCACACCACCAUCCUUUGGCGGUUGGCAGCUCAGCUCAGCCGUGGCCAUGAUGCACCCCCUUCCCAGUUUUUCAAUGAGGACGAGCUUCCGGGUUCUGCAUCUCACAAGGAAGUUGUUGGAGUAAUCUCGAAUGGUGUGGAGCUCUAUCACUUUUGCUGAAUGGCUCAACGAGCCAUUGUUUCUGCAACCUGUGAUGUUGACCAAGGUUUGUCAAACUUGAGCAUCCAUCUUCAUUCCUUGCCUCCUUUCCUCAAAUUGUGAUGUUUCUAAGUUUGCACUAUACCUACCAAUGUCUGGUUCAGUGUGGGGGAAAAGAAUUAUAUGGGAAAAUUAUUAAUUUCCCUUCCUGAUCAUAGGCCAUUCUUUGGUAUUUAGUAGUUUAUGUCAAGAUUGUAGAUACUUUUCUAUAUACUGGAUGGAACACUCACUUCUUUAGUUGACAUCCUGAUAUAGUUUGUUAAUAUUUCGUUUCAGAAUAUCUGAUUUUCUGCAUGUUUGUUGUAUAGCUUACAAGGAAUUUCAUUCAUUUGAUGAAUAUCGCCUUCUACAGUACAGUAGCAGGCUGAGCCGGAAGGCGAGCUCACUUCUUCUGUUGAGGCCUUCAUAGAUCUUUGUUAGCAUUUCAUUUUGAAGUUCUACGUUUUCUUUGUUUUUCUGAUAAAGCUUACAAGAAACUUCUGUCAUGUUUCAUCUAAUAAUGAAUAUUACUCCCUUGGUUUUAAAAAACUUGUCGCAACAUUGUCUAUAUACAAUGAUAUCUACAUAAAGCUCUGACAUGUUUGUUUGGAAGGAGGGUGGUACCUUCUAUAUUGCACUAAGGUGAAGCGCCUCAAAGAAAUGAUGGGCCAUCACCUGAUGAAUAUUGCCUUCUACGGCUGAAAGCGUAGAAGUUUGGACGAUAUUUAACAUAUUUAUUUAUCAGUACCAUGCUACUUUUGUAUGUGUGGCAGCCAACAAGUGUCAGAACUAUCCAGUUGUACUUUCCGUUUUGUUCAGAUGGUCAUAUGUUGGACUUCAGUUUAGCUGUUGACAUUUUGGUUUAGAACUGCAGAGCAUAACUUUCAUUUAUGUGAAUAAAGAUGUUAGAUUAGUAGCUAAAUCAGUGUGUAUAUUUGAUUUUAUUUGUUCUACCCUGUGUUUUCCAAUACUAUAUUUUCCAUUCACUGAAUAGAAAUGAGUGUGACACCUGCUGGCCGCCGUAUUUUUGAAAUAUGCAUAUCCCCAGGCUAAAGGAAGUUCAUACCGAAAGAUCUGGCACUAAACUAGAAGAUAAACUCGAGUUAAAGUACCAUGGCUGAUGGAACGAUUAGAGUGCAGCCAUCGACACCACUCGCUGUGCCGUCUCCGAGAAGAGACAUAGUGCGUGUCGUGCCAUCGCUGGAGAAGGAGGUGUGACACACCCUUGGGAGGAUUCUAGGUACUCACUCCCCUCUUCCUCUUGAUUUACCUCCUUCCCUCUCUCUUCCAAUCCCAUAAUUGUCGUUCUUUGUUUUGUGCAUAUGUGUUUUGUAUCCAUGCACAUAAAUUGUUUGAGGAAAUGUCCAAGCAGGCUCCAGGUAUACAAAGCUAUCUACCCUUUUAGUGCUAUAUUGUAUUGACAAUCUUUUGAUAGUCUCUAUUUCUUUCGGUCUUGAAAGGUAGGAGUGUGUAUUAUGGAAAUUUUGAUGUGCUCUUUCUAAAUGAAGAAACUAACUCAUUCAUGAACCUGCACUAAUUAUAAAGAUUCUUAGUUUAUCUCCAUGGUAUCAUUAUGAUUUUGAUGCUACAGGCUCAGACUAUUUUCCAUAUUUGAUCUUAUCUACUAUCUACAGGCAUCCAAUCUAACUAUUACAGUACAACCUAAUUAUUAUUUUUACCUGAUACACCUACGCCUUGCGAAUAGCUAUAAUUUUAACUUAUUUCGUAGACAACGUCAGCCUAUGAUAGAUAUAUAUUGCCAUCUGGUCUGAGAUUUUUCUAGAAUCAGUGACCCCAUGUGGUAGCUCACUUGGUCAUAUAAAGUUCAGUACUUAAUCAUAUUGUCCUAUACCACAUCAACCAGGUCAUAGAUAGAUCAGUACUUAAUCAGGUUGACACAAGUAAAAUUUCCCGGUGUUUCUUGCUAUACCAUAUCAAGUAAAAUCAGAAUUUGUAGCCAUAUACAUCACUUCUCAUAUUAGUUUAUAAAUAUUUGUACUUUUGGAUCCAUCAUUUCCUUACAUUUCAUUUUCUUGUGUUGUAGGUAAAUAUGAACGCCCUCCAAAUUAAUUAGUUGCUUGCAAGGCCCAUAUGUGAUUUAACAUUGCAAAUAGUUCUCAUGUUAGGUUGCUACAUCAAGUUUGUCAGUUUGUUCAUGUACUUUCUGUUGAGGGCUUGAGGCUGCAAGAUGUCGAUAUAUGUCACUCCUAAGUCUUUCAUAUUUAUUGAUAUUCCAUUUAAUUGCAAACUGUGGAGGUGGCCAGGUUUCCCUCUCUACUUAUCAAUUAUGUGCUAUAAAAGAUGCACUAUUGGCAUGCUGCCUUUCCCAAGAUGCAUCUACUUUGUGGUAGAUUUAUGUAAAGAAGGUAUGAUGUCUAGGUAACUGCAACUCAUUUCUUUGUGUUUGAGAUUCGGUCCCAUGAUUCUGUUGCUGGUUUGAAGCCGAUUCGGCCGGCCAUGACCAAGGUGUAUUUGGAGGAAUAUAAUGAAGUUCUUAGUGCUUGGUAACUGAUGUAUUUUGGUUCAGGCGCUCCUUUGUACAACCACUGCUGGCGCUCGAGGUGGCGCUGCACCGUCUAUUCAUGCAUCACCAUCAUCCUUGCAUCGAGGUGGCGCUUGAUCCCUGGUGUGAAGUAUAUAUAAUAUACUUAUAUAUGAUUUUUUUACGAGGAUCUUACAGACGAUGGUCAUGGUGGAGAGGAAUGUUGCUGCUAAUCCAGUUGAAUGAUGUGAACCUGGGUGAGAUCGGGUGUUGCUUUGAAGGAAACGGUGUUCGUUGAGUCUGUGGCUCCUUUGGUGAAAGGUAUGGCUUGCCACGGGUGUUCCAGGAUGUACUUGGGGGCCUGCGCCUGCUCAGACUCGAUUUUGCCGGUGUCAUGCAUCCGUCAGGUCGGCAGUUGUGGUUUGGUGUUUCCUGUGAUGUUAAUCUGGAGCCCAUUUCGUAGGCUAUCCUUUAAUUUUGCAACAUUCCAUUUUGUAUUAUUUUAAGUUGGUACAUCAGUGAUCUAGCCCACUUUCAUGUAACACUACUUAAUAUAGUACAAACUUUUUAUCAGAACCGCGAGCCAAGACAAGCCCCAAAAUAUUCCUCUA
Lolium perenne is the source of this 3981-nucleotide non-coding RNA. Lineage: Eukaryota; Viridiplantae; Streptophyta; Magnoliopsida; Poales; Poaceae. The record is from RefSeq and is a predicted model, not a curated record.